This is a long non-coding RNA of Photinus pyralis (common eastern firefly), 276 nucleotides long. RefSeq lists it as uncharacterized. The record is from RefSeq and is a predicted model, not a curated record. Lineage: Eukaryota; Metazoa; Arthropoda; Insecta; Coleoptera; Lampyridae. The transcript is spliced from 3 exons.
GAGAGAGGAAUCUAUGGCAGUACAGUGGCAAAUUCGAGGGCGACAUCCUUUUGCCAAGCAAACGGAACGCGGCGACUAAUGUGAAUCUUUGAUGGCCGGGAGGCGUUGUGUGUUACACCAUUACUGGCAGUUUCAGUGCAUCGGACCGUAAUCUGAUAAUCACCACGCUGAGUACUGGGUUUCCGAAUACGUGCGUUUAUCCGUACCAGUCGACAACAUACUGUGGAGGAAGCGUGGUUCAGAUCACGAAUGCCGAUCCGAGCGGGUGUUACGCCG